GAAAUGCAUUAUAAAUUGGUGGGACCACAAAUAAAAAAUGUAAAAAUGCAGGAAAACUUAAAAUCAGGAUACUUAAAAGUUUCAUUGUAAUGCAAAAUAACCUGUUUAAGGCAAAAGUUAAUAUUCCAGCAGGACAAGACAAAGUAACACUGGAGUCAAGAAUAAAAAGCAUAAUCCACAGAUCCCCCCCCUCGGGUUAAUAGGUUGCCUCAGGUCUAUUAACAUUCAAAUGCCAGAGGGGCUUUUGCAGAGUGCAAUAGACUCACUAUUUAUUGAGCCUGUGCAGGGCUGUUUGGGCCACUGUGCAUCUGAAAUGCCAGGGCUUAAUUUGAAUAUCAGUCUGAACCUGAGUUGCCUCCUGUUGUGCUGCAGCUUAACAAUAUUAUGUUAUGUAAGCAGGGCUGUUCCUGCCAUGAGGCAGGGUGAGAACCUUGCCUCAGGCGGCAGCAAACGACCAGUUUCAAGGGGCGGUUUUAACCCGUAAAUUCAGCUCUGCUAGUGCAGAGAGCUUUAUUCGCUCAAUGCACUAGCAAUGCUGCCCCCCUUAGACCCGCUCUGAUGCUAAUUUUUAAGCGCGGAUUGGGGGGGUGGCGGUAGCAGCCCCAGGAUCGCCGCUGUAUGUCCACUUUAAGGCUCCUCUGUGGCUUCCAGCCAACCUCGCCACACCAGGUCAUAUUUCUGAGGACACCCUCUUGCAGUAUAGGUCCUGGCCUGUUCAUUUUACAGUCUCUCACUCAUAUCACUGCAAAGGCAGCAGCGAAGUGAUAAAUGAAUACGCUCAAUUUUUCAGCACUACAGAUAAUAAUCACUGAAGAGACCAGGAUAGCUGGCCAGUCGAUAAAUGGAUAACAAUUACCAAACCUUUCCUCCUAGGUGGAUGCAGAAAAAUAACAGUAUCAAGUUAGGUUGAUAAGAAGCAAUUAAUUCACAAACAUGAGGUGAUAAUACAAUUGUUAGGCUACGUGCAUGUGGUGGUUAAACACCAGUUUGUGUGUGUUGUCUGUUUGAAAGUCAUUCUAUGAGUUCUGGGUGCAAGGAGGUAUACAAGUAAACAGGGACACAUGAAAUACAGAUGGGGUGAGGGUAAAACCAGGGAACUGACAAAAAGAAUAUUGCUGCUUGGCAAAAUAUUCUUUAAUUGUUGGUACGGGCUCUGCCUACAUGUAGCAAAGCCCAAAUGGAGAACUCUAAUUAAAGGAGAAAGAAAGGCUUUGUGCUCUGUGGAAGAGGAUCGAUCGAUGGUGCUCACUGGUAUAACCCCUGACUGGUGCAGUUUUCAAUACAAUCAAUACAAAGUCAAAUACAAUCACUUGGGGGUGCCUAACAUUUGGCACCCCCAAGUGCACAAAGCAUUUCCAUUUCCUUCCUUUGUUCGAAGGCAGAUGUGGAGGAUUUUGGUGCAGAAACGUAAGAUUUUGCAAUUCAAACUGAAGUCCGCCAUGCCAGCCUGCACCCAAGUGUAGGUAAUGUUUCCAUGUGCAAGAAGUGCAGCAGAAGAGGAGCAGCUGGGUAGCAGAUUCUCAGCCUGCUUUUCUCCGCAGACUGAGAUCCGUCUGGUGUGGCCUAGCCUUAGCAAUUUUCAGGGCCAAAAUUAGACAGCUUUAUAGGAUCUCCUGACAUUUGCAGCAUCUUUUAUAAGGAAUUAAAAGGAUUCAGGGUAACCAAGACUAGUGGAGACAAACACUGCUGCCCCAAGCUCUAAAACUGUGAAAUUAAUGACUUAAAAAGUGAUCUUAAUCUAUAUUGUUCUUAGUGGCAGAAUAGAAGAGAGUGGUAUUUUUUUGGUGUUUAUCAAAUUCUCCCUUUUUUUUGCUACCCUGUGGAGUGGUUCAGUUGACCUAAGGCAGACUCUGCCUACAUCUUAUAGCUGACACCUGUAACAUGCUGGUCACUGCAGCAUCAGACUUACAGCCAUAAAGCCCCUAUGGACCCCAGCCACAACCACUCUCUGCCCCCCCCUCCGUGUGUACCUUUUUUCUUCUUAGGGCCACGACUGGGGCCAGUGAGGGAGGUUGGGGCAGUAGCAUGGUUUCAGGCAGGGAGCGCGUUUGGGCUGGCAGGGCCCACUAGGUUUUUUCUUGGUGUCUUGCCACACCAGUCUGACCCUGGGUCAGUGUUAAACCUCUUUGACAACACUACCUCAAAGUAUAUAUCCAUAGAAUAUUUAGAGCGCUAUAUGAUGUUGAUUAUUUAGAUUUACUUUUUACACACACUGAGCCAGAUAUCAAAUAUGCAAGUGAAGUACAGACAGUCAUUAUUAUAAGUUGAUUAUAUAAUUUAGAAAGAGCACAGAAUAAAGAACAGCAAAAGGCCAGUAAUGCUUCUAGACAAUUUAUUAGAUGGUCAUUAUAGAAAAUCUAUUCUGGUGCAAACACGUUUUUGCUUACUUUUCAAAUAAACAUAUUUAUAGAAUGCUGAAAAAUAAUUUAGCCACAGGCUAUAAUAGAAUACCCCACCUUACAAUAGGCAAACACUAUUAGGUGAAACACUCCCUGGAAAUAGCAUUUUGUUCUGAACUUGACUUUUCAUAAAUUGAAAAAUGUUAAAGCACACUUUAGAAAGUGACAUUUUUAUUCUAAUUAAUGCACAGAAAAAAAUGAAUAUUAGUAAAUGUGCUCAUCAAUGUUGCAGGUCAAAAUGAUGAAAGAUUAGCAUUUGUGUUUGGUUGGGUAUCUAGGGAGUUUGAGUUAAGGGGGUAUAUUUUAUCAAAGAGGGAAGUUAGAGUUCGCCACAGUCCUCUAGAGUGAAAUUCCACCACUCU
Molecule: long non-coding RNA, 2761 nt
Organism: Xenopus laevis (African clawed frog)
Lineage: Eukaryota; Metazoa; Chordata; Amphibia; Anura; Pipidae
Exons: 4
Source: RefSeq, a predicted model, not a curated record